RNAcentral lists this non-coding RNA (946 nucleotides) under Hemiaspis damelii. Lineage: Eukaryota; Metazoa; Chordata; Lepidosauria; Squamata; Elapidae. The record is from RNAcentral.
UAACUUAAUAACACAAGGUCUUGGUCUUAAACCUCUUAUUAUCUCAACUCUAUACUUAUACAUGCAAGCCUCAACAUAACAGUGAAACAGCCCACCACAACCCAACUUAGAGCCGGUAUCAGGACAACUACCCACGACACCAAGCAAUUAAGCCACACCCCCACGGGCCCGCAGCAGUAGUCAAUAUUGGGCCAUAAGCGUAAGCUUGACCCAAUAACAGAGUUCCCAACGGGCCGGUCAAUCUCGUGCCAGCGACCGCGGUUACACGACAGACCCAAGAUAAUACCCCUCGGCGUAAAGCACGACUAAAAUCCUUGAGUUCUUCUCCUUAGGGUUAAAGCCAAUCUGGGCUGUAAAAAGCCACAAGCCGCACUAAACACUAAACCCUAAUACAUAAACACCUUCAACUCGUGAAAGCCAGGACACAAACUAAGAUUAGAUACCUUACUAUGCCUGACCCUAACAAAACAAUUAAAUAACUAAUUGUUCGCCAAAUAACUACGAGUUAAAACUUAAAAUUUAAAAGACUUGACGGUACUUCACACCAACCUAGAGGAGCCUGUCUAAUAACCGAUGAUCCACGAUUAACCCAACCAACCAUAGCCUUACAGUCUAUAUACCGCCGUCGCCAGCUUACCUUGUGAAAGAAAUAAAGUAAGCCCCACAAUACCCCCUUAACACGACAGGUCGAGGUGUAACUGAUGGGUUGGACCAAGAUGGGCUACAAUUUCUCAGCCAGAAAAGACGAACAGACUAUGAAACUAGAAACUGAAGGUGGAUUUAGCAGUAAGAUGGGAAUAGAUAUACCCAACCGAAAUUAACGCAAUGAAGUGCGCACACACCGCCCGUCAUCCCUGCAAAACACACAAUCUUUAUAUAAACAACUACACCCUAAUCAAAGCAGGGCAAGUCGUAACAUGGUAAGCGUACUGGAAAGUGUGCUUAG